GCUUAUUCUCAGGGCGGGGUGCAAUUCCCCACCGGCGGUAUCCUGCCAUGAUGCAGGGAGCCCGCGAGCGCCCGACGCAAGUCGGGGUCAGCAGAUCCGGUGAGAUGCCGGAGCCGACGGUUAUAGUCCGGAUGAAAGAGGAUAAAC
This 147-nucleotide non-coding RNA is filed under the name Aeromonas sp. RNAcentral's name for it is "FMN sequence". It matches the Rfam family "FMN riboswitch aptamer (RFN element)". From Rfam's summary of the family: The RFN element is a highly conserved domain that is found frequently in the 5'-untranslated regions of prokaryotic mRNAs that encode for flavin mononucleotide (FMN) biosynthesis and transport proteins. This element is a metabolite-dependent riboswitch that directly binds FMN in the absence of proteins. Lineage: Bacteria; Pseudomonadati; Pseudomonadota; Gammaproteobacteria; Aeromonadales; Aeromonadaceae. The record is from RNAcentral.